GUCUACAACCAUAUCACCUGAAUGCGCCUAAUCUAGUCUGAUCUCAGAAGAUAAGCAGGGUUGGGCCUGGUUGGUUUUUGGAUGGGAGAAAUGAAAAGUGAGACA
This 105-nucleotide ribosomal RNA is filed under the name Castor canadensis (American beaver). The record is from RNAcentral. Lineage: Eukaryota; Metazoa; Chordata; Mammalia; Rodentia; Castoridae.